This is a long non-coding RNA of Amblyraja radiata (thorny skate), 99 nucleotides long. RefSeq lists it as uncharacterized. The record is from RefSeq and is a predicted model, not a curated record. The transcript is spliced from 3 exons. NCBI's taxonomy places the organism in Eukaryota, Metazoa, Chordata, Chondrichthyes, Rajiformes, Rajidae.
GUCUCGGAGAGGGGAUGGUGGCGCGGGCCGCCUGAAAGGUGAGAUAGAAUAAUGUCAAGUUGCCCUUGUAUUGUGUUUAACUUUUUGUUGUUCAACGGG